This 374-nucleotide ribosomal RNA is filed under the name uncultured organism. RNAcentral's name for it is "partial 16S ribosomal RNA". It matches the Rfam family "Bacterial small subunit ribosomal RNA", at positions 527 to 896 of the family's 1533-position model. The record is from RNAcentral.
GUAGGUGGCAAGCGUUGUCCGGAAUUAUUGGGGCGUAAAGCGCGCGCAGGCGGUUCUUUAAGUCUGAUGUGAAAGCCCACGGGCUCAACCGUGGAGGGUCAUUGGAAACUGGAGAACUUGAGUACAGAAGAGGAAAGCGGAAUUCCACGUGUAGCGGCGAAAUGCGUAGAGAUGUGGAGGAACACCAGUGGCGAAGGCGGCUUUCUGGUCUGUAACUGACGCUGAGGCGCGAAAGCGUGGGGAGCAAACAGGAUUAGAUACCCUGGUAGUCCACGCCGUAAACGAUGAGUGCUAAGUGUUAGGGGGUUUCCGCCCCUUAGUGCUGCAGCUAACGCAUUAAGCACUCCGCCUGGGGAGUACGGCCGCAAAGGCUG